This 253-nucleotide ribosomal RNA is filed under the name uncultured bacterium. RNAcentral's name for it is "partial 16S ribosomal RNA". It matches the Rfam family "Bacterial small subunit ribosomal RNA", at positions 524 to 776 of the family's 1533-position model. The record is from RNAcentral.
UACGGAGGGAGCUAGCGUUAUUCGGAAUUACUGGGCGUAAAGCGCACGUAGGCGGCUUUGUAAGUUAGAGGUGAAAGCCUGGAGCUCAACUCCAGAAUUGCCUUUAAGACUGCAUCGCUUGAAUCCAGGAGAGGUGAGUGGAAUUCCGAGUGUAGAGAUGAAAUUCGUAGAUAUUCGGAAGAACACCAGUGGCGAAGGCGGCUCACUGGACUGGUAUUGACGCUGAGGUGCGAAAGCGUGGGGAGCAAACAGG